CGGCCAACAUAUCGGUUAUCGGCUUUCAAAAAUAAAGAAUAAUCGGUUAUCGGUAUCGGCCAAAAUUUUCAUAUCGGUGCAUCCCUAAUCUGAGGUAUAUAAAACUGAAGUUAUUCUUAUUGAUUUGACUAUCACUCAUUUAAAUGAAAAAAGUUACUAUAUUUUUAUCAAAGUAACACUCAAUUGACAGUUAGUUCCGGUCCUCUAGAUUAUCUGAUUGAUUGAGUUAAUAUUUAGUAAUGUGUUGUGUUGCUUAAGUACAAAAAUGGACAUUUAACAGCCUGUGUUAAUUUUUGCAGAACAUCAAAUAUGAUUAAUCAGUUCACAAAGGGACUGAAUGCUUAUGGACAGUUCUGGGAUAUGGUAAGAACUCACUGGGUUGAGUUUUUGCCCAUCUUUACCAACAUGCAUGAGCCCCUUUCCAGAAGCACAUUUAGAGACCUGUUCCAAAUCCACUGGAGUAAAUCAGGGACCAAGAAGAGGGAGGCUGAGGAAGAGACUAUACACUACUGGGAACUGGUACUUAAGAUGAUUGAAGAUAAAAAACCAAAAGCUCCACAAAACGAUUUGCAUUUUGAGGAGAUUUUGGCUUUCAUAACUGGAGCGGGUGAAGUCCCACCACUUGGGUUCUCCCCGAAGCCCAGCAUUCACUUCUACCAACCAGAGCAGCGUGGAUGCCGUCUACCGUUUGCUAACACAUGCAUGAUGGGAUUGUUCCUGCCCAGGGUUGUGAAAGAUGAAGUGGAACUUUACAGGAUGCUCCUGAGAGCAAUCAGAGACUCAGCUGUUUUUGGGAGAACAUAAAUGUAUAUAAUUCUUUAUUAUAAUGUACACGGUCACAUCCAUAAUUAUGUAUAUUUAUAAGCUUUAUUUCAUUAUUUAUUUCAUUACUUAAGAAGAAAGCACUUAUGCAAUUACUGUAUAUUUUUGACAUAAAUAUGUUUUGCAUUCUAUGCCAGAUAUUUUUUUAAAUAUUUGUAAUAUAUACAAUAUAUUUAUAUUUGUAAUGUUCCUGAUAACUUUCUUGUAGUUGACUGCAUAGUAGUCACGUGUUACAUUUACGAGUGUUUACAGAUCGAAGAGAAUAGGACCUAUCAAUCAUUAUUCUGUAAACCUGUUUUACCUGACACACCUAUGCAGUAACACGGUCUACCAUAUCGUUUUCUGAGCUGUGCUUUGGUUUCUCUUUUUUGCUUAACUUACCCUGUCAAAGAAUGCUUUGGUACGCUGAAUAAACUGGAAACAGCGUAUUAUCUAAUCUUUAACGUGUUUUCCAUUAAAAUAUUUAUUUCGGAGUGAAACAGAGUUUACAACCUGUUUUAUUAGAGACGUCGAAAAAUUUUGAGAUGGAUAGAAUUACAGCACCUACUCAUUUCUAUGGUAUCCACAAACCGCGAUUGACUUUCAAAGCUGUAAUGUGAUUGGUUUACGUGGCACACGUGAUCCAAGUUGACCGUUAUGUUUUCUCCAACGGCAGAGGAUGGUUUCUCGUAUCCACUGCUAUCCACAUCCCGCUCAGUAAUGGCAGUCCUACUGUAGCUCUUGCUAUAGGAAAAUUACUGGUUGGCAAACUAUUUUCCGCUCUUUCAAGCGGCUCAC
This 1599-nucleotide long non-coding RNA is filed under the name Sinocyclocheilus grahami. Its description in RNAcentral is "lncRNA (ENSSGRG00000004427.1)". Lineage: Eukaryota; Metazoa; Chordata; Actinopteri; Cypriniformes; Cyprinidae. The record is from RNAcentral.